RNAcentral lists this ribosomal RNA (429 nucleotides) under uncultured archaeon. Its description in RNAcentral is "bacterial SSU rRNA". It matches the Rfam family "Archaeal small subunit ribosomal RNA", at positions 474 to 903 of the family's 1478-position model. The record is from RNAcentral.
UACCUGCAGCUCAAGUGGUAACCGCUAUUAUUGGGCCUAAAGCGUCCGUAGCCGGUUUGGUAAAUAUCUGGGUAAAUCGUGAGGCUUAACUUCACGAAUUUCGGAUAGACUACCAGACUUGGGAUCGGGGGAGGUCAGAGGUGCUCCAGGGGUAGCGGUGAAAUGUUGUAAUCCUUGGAGGACCACCGGUAGCGAAGGCGUCUGACUAGAACGAGUCCGACGGUGAGGGACGAAGCCCUGGGGCGCAAACCGGAUUAGAUACCCGGGUAGUCCAGGGUGUAAACGAUGUGGGCUUUGUAUUGGAGGUCCCACGUGGGCGUCCAGUGCAGAAGAGAAGUUGUUAAGCCCACCGCCUGGGAAGUACGGUCGCAAGGCUGAAACUUAAAGGAAUUGGCGGGGGAGCACAGCAACGGGAGGAGCGUGCGGUUU